RNAcentral lists this ribosomal RNA (489 nucleotides) under uncultured bacterium. RNAcentral describes it as "partial 16S ribosomal RNA". It matches the Rfam family "Bacterial small subunit ribosomal RNA", at positions 30 to 507 of the family's 1533-position model. The record is from RNAcentral.
UUGAACGCUGGCGGCAGGCCUAACACAUGCAAGUCGAACGGUAACAGGAAGCAGCUUGCUGCUUCGCUGACGAGUGGCGGCCGGGUGAGUAAUGUCUGGGAAACUGCCUGAUGGAGGGGGAUAACUACUGGAAACGGUAGCUAAUACCGCAUAACGUCGCAAGACCAAAGAGGGGGACCUUAGGGCCUCUUGCCAUCGGAUGUGCCCAGAUGGGAUUAGCUAGUAGGUGGGGUAACGGCUCACCUAGGCGACGAUCCCUAGCUGGUCUGAGAGGAUGACCAGCCACACUGGAACUGAGACACGGUCCAGACUCCUACGGGAGGCAGCAGUGGGGAAUAUUGCACAAUGGGCGCAAGCCUGAUGCAGCCAUGCCGCGUGUAUGAAGAAGGCCUUCGGGUUGUAAAGUACUUUCAGCGGGGAGGAAGGGAGUAAAGUUAAUACCUUUGCUCAUUGACGUUACCCGCAGAAGAAGCACCGGCUAACUCCGUG